This is a long non-coding RNA of Pipistrellus kuhlii (Kuhl's pipistrelle), 556 nucleotides long. RefSeq lists it as uncharacterized. The transcript is spliced from 3 exons. The record is from RefSeq and is a predicted model, not a curated record. Lineage: Eukaryota; Metazoa; Chordata; Mammalia; Chiroptera; Vespertilionidae.
GUCUCCAGGUUCCAGCACGUGACUCACUAGUGAGUGUUUGUUUUUUGGAUUCUGGCUUUGAGUCACCACUCUUCCUGCUGUUGGUCUUCUCAACCGAGGGGUAACCACGGAAAAGGGAGGAUGAGAAAAGUCUGUGAUGCUUAAAGAACCUGAAAGCUGGCCGGCUGGCAGUUGUAUCCGCCCGGCUAAUUUUCAAGAUGGGUCUUUCCUCUGUAAACAAGAAUACAGCACUUAUAAAUAACAGCGGGAAAGGGGAAGGAGGGGAGAGGAAGAGAAGUAAGUCUACAAAGGAUGUGAUUGAGCUCAGCAAAUGGCAGCCUAACCAAGAAAUCACAUUUUCCAGCCUCUCUUGCAGCUCGAUGAGGAAAAUUGUGCUCAGCAUACAUAACCCUGCCCAGAUCAUGCAGCAUGUUAGUGCUGGAAGCAAUAUUUGCGCCCCAGAUUUCUCUGCCUUGAAAAAACAAUUGUACUGUUCAUAGCCUUUGGUAUGAUAUGAAAGAAAAAAAUACUGGGUUUAAUCUCCAAAAUUUACAGAGAACUCACACAACUUAACAAA